AGACUCCGCUAGUAGUGGCGAGCGAACGCGGACCAGGCCAGUGGCUUAUGUGAUUAAAGUGGAACAAUCUGGAAAGGUUGGCUAGAGUGGGUGAUAGCCCCGUACACGCAACAUGAACAUAAGUCCUUGAGUAGGGCGGGACACGUGAAAUCCUGUCUGAAUAUGGGUAGACCACUAUCCAAGCCUAAGUACUCGUGCAUGACCGAUAGCGAACCAGUACCGUGAGGGAAAGGUGAAAAGCACCCCGACGAGGGGAGUGAAAUAGUACCUGAAACCGAAUGCCUACAAACAGUUGGAGCCCAAGAUUUGUUCUGGGUGACAGCGUACCUUUUGUAUAAUGGGUCAGCGACUUAGUGUAACGAGCAAGCUUAAGCCGGUAGGUGUAGGCGUAGCGAAAGCGAGUCUGAAUAGGGCGUUCAGUUCGUUGCAUUAGACCCGAAACCAAGUGAUCUAGCCAUGAGCAGGUUGAAGGUACGGUAACACGUACUGGAGGACCGAACCCAUAUCUGUUGCAAUAGAUCGGGAUGACUUGUGGCUAGGGGUGAAAGGCCAAUCAAACUUGGAGAUAGCUGGUUCUCCGCGAAAUCUAUUUAGGUAGAGCGUCCAGCGAAUACCCCCGGGGGUAGAGCACUGAAUGGGCUAUGGGGACUCACCGUCUUACUGAUCCUAAUCAAACUCCGAAUACCGGGGAGUACUACUGGGCAGACACACGGCGGGUGCUAACGUCCGUCGUGAAGAGGGCAACAACCCUGACCACCAUCUAAGGUCCCUAAGUUAUGGCUAAGUGGGAAAGGAUGUGAGGAUCCCAAAACAACCAGGAUGUUGGCUUAGAAGCAGCCAUCAUUUAAAGAAAGCGUAACAGCUCACUGGUCUAAAUAAGGGUCUUUGCGCCGAAAAUGUACCGGGGCUAAAGCCAUACACCGAAGCUGUGGAUGCACGUAUGUGCGUGGUAGCGGAGCGUUCCGUAAGCCUGUGAAGGGACAGUCGUGAGACAUCCUGGAGGUAUCGGAAGUGAGAAUGCUGACAUGAGUAACGAUAAAGGGAGUGAGAGACUCCCUCGCCGAAAGUCCAAGGGUUCCUGCUUAAAGUUAAUCUGAGCAGGGUUAGCCGGCCCCUAAGGCGAGGCCGAAAGGCGUAGUCGAUGGGAACCACGUUAAUAUUCGUGGGCCUGCAGGUAGUGACGGAUUGCGUGUGUUGUACAUUCUUAUUGGAUUGAAUGUGCAGCGAAGCGGUUCCAGGAAAUAGCUCCUGCAUAUAGACCGUACCCUAAACCGACACAGGUGGACUGGUAGAGAAUACCAAGGCGCUUGAGAGAACUGCGUUGAAGGAACUCGGCAAAAUGCACGCGUAACUUCGGAAGAAGCGUGACCCUUAUUUAGGCAACUAGAUGAGGGUGGCACAGACCAGGGGGUAGCGACUGUUUACCAAAAACACAGGGCUCUGCGAAGUCGCAAGACGACGUAUAGGGUCUGACGCCUGCCCGGUGCUGGAAGGUUAAGAGGAGAUGUGCAAGCAUUGAAUUGAAGCCCCAGUAAACGGCGGCCGUAACUAUAACGGUCCUAAGGUAGCGAAAUUCCUUGUCGGGUAAGUUCCGACCUGCACGAAUGGCGUAACGACUUCCCCGCUGUCUCCAACGCAGACUCAGUGAAAUUGAAUUCCCCGUGAAGAUGCGGGGUUCCUGCGGUUAGACGGAAAGACCCCGUGCACCUUUACUAUAGCUUUACACUGGCAUUCGUGUCGACAUGUGUAGGAUAGGUGGUAGACUUUGAAGCCGUGGCGCCAGCCAUGGUGGAGUCAUCCUUGAAAUACCACCCUUAUCUAUAUGGAUGUCUAACUGCGGCCCGUUAUCCGGGUCCAGGACCGUGUAUGGUGGGUAGUUUGACUGGGGCGGUCGCCUCCUAAAGAGUAACGGAGGCGCGCGAUGGUAGGCUCAGAACGGUCGGAAAUCGUUCGUCGAGUGCAAUGGCAUAAGCCUGCCUGACUGCAAGACUGACAAGUCGAGCAGAGACGAAAGUCGGUCAUAGUGAUCCGGUGGUCCCGCGUGGAAGGGCCAUCGCUCAACGGAUAAAAGGUACGCCGGGGAUAACAGGCUGAUGA
Molecule: ribosomal RNA, 2097 nt
Filed under: soil metagenome
Description: bacterial LSU rRNA
Rfam family: Bacterial large subunit ribosomal RNA
Source: RNAcentral